RNAcentral lists this long non-coding RNA (442 nucleotides) under Rattus norvegicus (Norway rat). RNAcentral describes it as "long non-coding RNA NONRATT016533". Lineage: Eukaryota; Metazoa; Chordata; Mammalia; Rodentia; Muridae. The record is from RNAcentral.
AGCGCGAGUACCCGUGGGCGUGCGCGCGUGGGAGGCGGCUGCACUCUUCCUGAGGGGGCCCAGCGGCUCCAGAGGAUUCCCCGGUCCAGCCGGGACGCGCACCGGCCGUGGACUGGGCCAGGGCGCGCGCGAGGAAGCGGCGGCGGCGGGAACCCGGGACCCCAGGCCGCGCAAGACAGCCCCGAGGCGCCUCGCCCACGCUCGCGCCCCUCCCCCCUCCGCUUCCUUCUUCUGCUCAGCGCGCCGGAGAGCGCAGGCCGGAUGCGAACCCGGGCCAGCCUAAGGUCGUUCAACUUGGCGGCUCCCGGCCUGCUGCCCGCGCGCUACUUGUGAGGCGUGGCCGGGUGAAGGAGGCGCUUGGGGGGCGUGGGGCUCCCCAGCUGGCGGCGGCGACCGAGAGGGCGCUCGGGACAAUGAGCUGGGCAGCUGCGCGCUGCGGCCG